GACGAACGCUGGCGGCGUGCUUAACACAUGCAAGUCGAACGAGAGCGUAGAGAAAGCUUGCUUUUUCUACAAUCUAGUGGCAAACGGGUGAGUAACGCGUAAACAACCUGCCCUACGGAUGGGGACAACAGCUGGAAACGGCUGCUAAUACCGAAUACGUUCCGAAAGUCGCAUGACUAUCGGAAGAAAGGAUGGCCUCUAUUUAUAAGCUAUCGCCGGAGGAGGGGUUUGCGUCUGAUUAGCUAGUUGGAGGGGUACGGCCCACCAAGGCGACGAUCAGUAGCCGGUCUGAGAGGAUGAACGGCCACAUUGGAACUGAGACACGGUCCAGACUCCUACGGGAGGCAGCAGUGGGGAAUCUUCCGCAAUGGGCGAAAGCCUGACGGAGCAACGCCGCGUGAGUGAAGACGGCCGUCGGGUUGUAAAGCUCUGUUAUACGGGACGAAUAAUCUUGUGGUUAAUACCCAUGAGAAGUGACGGUACCGUAAGAGAAAGCCACGGCUAACUACGUG
Molecule: ribosomal RNA, 512 nt
Filed under: uncultured bacterium
Lineage: Bacteria
Description: partial 16S ribosomal RNA
Rfam family: Bacterial small subunit ribosomal RNA
Source: RNAcentral